AUUGAACGCUGGCGGCAGGCCUAACACAUGCAAGUCGAGCGGAGCGGCGGACGGGUGAGUGAUGCCUAGGAAUCUGCAUGGUAGUGGGGGAUCACGUCCGGAAACGGGCGCUAAUACCGCAUACUUGAAGCUGAGCCUAGGUGGGAUUAGCUAGUUGGUGGGGUAAAGGCCUACCAAGGCGACGAUCCGUAACUGGUCUGAGAGGAUGAUCAGUCACACUGGAACUGAGACACGGUCCAGACUCCUACGGGAGGCAGCAGUGGGGAAUAUUGGACAAUGGGCGAAAGCCUGAUCCAGCCAUGCCGCGUGUGUGAAGAAGGUCUUCGGAUUGUAAAGCACUUUAAGUUGGGAGGCGUUACCAACAGAAUAAGCACCGGCUAACUUCGUGCCAGCAGCCGCGGUAAUUC
This 407-nucleotide ribosomal RNA is filed under the name uncultured bacterium. RNAcentral's name for it is "partial 16S ribosomal RNA". It matches the Rfam family "Bacterial small subunit ribosomal RNA", at positions 30 to 526 of the family's 1533-position model. The record is from RNAcentral.